AUUAAUUGCUAUCCCCUCUCUCCCUCAUCAUCACCUAGGGGUUCCGGCAAACUCGCAGGAGAUGCUCAUCCCCAGGGGCUCCGAUGAACCCGCUGGAGACUCACGACGCCGGAUCCCCCACUCCCCUGCCCCACCCGAUGACACUAAAUCAAGCUAUGAUUUGGGCUACCGCCAACCCGUCAUCGGCUGGGCAUAGCCACGAUUUGGUUCUACUCCACCGGGUGGGGCUCGUCCACUGCCGCAGCCGCCCAGUUGGAGCCAUUGGCUAUCCGCUCAACCUUUGGCAGAAACCAGGCGGCGCAAUCGGGGAAGACGCGGCCGCAUGUGUAUGCCAGGAUCCUUGCACGGAUGAAGAUCCGCAGAGAUGGAGGAUAUCACAUCAGCUAGGGAGGUGACCGCAAUGCGCCUCUCUUGUAGAUCAGGGGUGGUAACUGGUGGACAGGAGAGGCAUAUGGCUGUCGCAGAGGUGCUCCUGAGAAUAGUGCUACAUUGGAACAUGUCGAACAAUGAGCUUAUGCCACAGCAUGACCACAUGGUGGUGAAUGUUGUGGCAUUGCCUCUAAGAUUUUUUUGUGAUGCGUGAUCAGCCUCAUGUCACAUGUUAUUUUGAAUGUUUUAAACAUAAACACAUCACAUGUAUUUUUUAGCAUAAACACAAGUCUAAUUCUUGGAUUUUUUUAAUUUAUUUA
Molecule: long non-coding RNA, 689 nt
Organism: Panicum hallii
Lineage: Eukaryota; Viridiplantae; Streptophyta; Magnoliopsida; Poales; Poaceae
Exons: 4
Source: RefSeq, a predicted model, not a curated record